GCAUAUCAAUAAGCGGAGGAAAAGAAACCAACAGGGAUUGCCCCAGUAACGGCGAGUGAAGCGGCAACAGCUCAAAUUUGAAAUCUGGCCCCUCCGGGUCCGAGUUGUAAUUUGUAGAGGAUGCUUUUGGUGAGGUGCCGCCCGAGUUCCCUGGAACGGGACGCCACAGAGGGUGAGAGCCCCGUCUGGCUGGCCACCGAGCCUCUGUAAAGCUCCUUCGACGAGUCGAGUAGUUUGGGAAUGCUGCUCAAAAUGGGAGGUAUAUGUCUUCUAAAGCUAAAUAUUGGCCAGAGACCGAUAGCGCACAAGUAGAGUGAUCGAAAGAUGAAAAGCACCUUGAAAAGAGGGUUAAACAGUACGUGAAAUUGUUGAAAGGGAAGCGCUUGUGACCAGACUUGGGCGCGGCGGAUCAUCCGGGGUUCUCUCCGGUGCACUUCGCCGCGUUCAGGCCAGCAUCAGUUCGUCGCGGGGGAAAAAGGCUUCGGGAACGUGGCUCCUCCGGGAGUGUUAUAGCCCGUUGCAUAAUACCCUGCGGUGGACUGAGGACCGCGCAUCUGCAAGGAUGCUGGCGUAAUGGUCACCAGCGACCCGUCUUGAAACACGGACC
This 607-nucleotide ribosomal RNA is filed under the name Trichoderma sp. JCM 28073. RNAcentral describes it as "eukaryotic LSU rRNA". It matches the Rfam family "Eukaryotic large subunit ribosomal RNA", at positions 38 to 667 of the family's 3401-position model. The record is from RNAcentral. Lineage: Eukaryota; Fungi; Ascomycota; Sordariomycetes; Hypocreales; Hypocreaceae. RNAcentral also lists the same sequence under 7 other names.